RNAcentral lists this ribosomal RNA (1376 nucleotides) under human gut metagenome. RNAcentral describes it as "bacterial LSU rRNA". It matches the Rfam family "Bacterial large subunit ribosomal RNA", at positions 578 to 1977 of the family's 2925-position model. The record is from RNAcentral.
ACAUCUUUAUAUGAUGAACCGCGUACUUUUUGUAGAACGGUCCGGCGAGUUACGCGUGCCGGCAAGGUUAAGCACUUAAGGUGUGGAGCCGAAGAGAAAUCGAGUCUGAACAGGGCGUUCAGUCAGCACGCGUAGACCCGAAACCGGGUGAUCUACCCAUGUCCAGGUUGAAGUUGCCGUAAAAGGCAAUGGAGGACCGAACGCACAUCCGUUGAAAAGGGUGGCGAUGAGGUGUGGGUAGGGGAGAAAUUCCAAUCGAACCCGGAGAUAGCUGGUUCUCCUCGAAAUAGCUUUAGGGCUAGCCUCAUUUUAGUCUUAUGGAGGUAGAGCACUGAAUUUCCGCGGGGGCGUCAAAGCUUACCAAAGAAUAUCAAACUCCGAAUGCCAUGUAGAUGAUGAAUGGGAGUCAGACUGCACGAGAUAAGUUGGGUGGUCAAAAGGGAAAGAGCCCAGACCUACAGCUAAGGUCCCAAAGUGCGUGUUAAGUGGAAAAGGAUGUGGGAUUUCGAAGACAACCAGGAUGUUGGCUCAGAAGCAGCCACACAUUAAAAGAGUGCGUAAUAGCUCACUGGUCGAGAGGUCCUGCGCCGAAAAUGUCCGGGGCUGAAACACGACACCGAAGCUUAGGAAUCACAUAGUGAUUGGUAGAGGAGCAUUCUUAAAACCGACGAAGCUGUACCGGAAGGAGCAGUGGAGGGAUAAGAAGAGAGAAUGCCGGAAUGAGUAGCGAGAGGAAGGUGGGAAUCCUUCCGGCCGAAUAUCUAAGGUUUCCAGAGUAAAGCUGAUCUGCUCUGGGUAAGUCGGGGCCUAAGGAGAGGUCGAAAGACGUAUCCGAUGGACAACAGGUUUAGAUUCCUGUACCACAUAUAAACAGAACUGUGGGGACGCAUGUGGAAAGCAUAAGCCGGGAAUGGAAAUACCGGUACAAACGGAAGAGGUGUCAGGCUGGCAAAUCCGCCUGGCAAGCCAAAGACGUGAUGUGGAGCGAAAUAAAAGUAGCGAAGUAUGUGAGCCAUGUGCCGAGAAAAGCCGCUAUUGUUUUAUAUGUGCCCGUACCGUAAACCGACACAGGUGGAUGAGGAGAGAAUCCUAAGGCCGACGGAAGAAGCAUUGUUAAGGAACUCGGCAAAAUGACCCCGUAACUUCGGGAGAAGGGGUGCCCACUUCAGGGUGGGCCGCAGAGAAUAGGCUCAAGCAACUGUUUAGCAAAAACACAGGUCUAUGCGAAACCGUAAGGUGAAGUAUAUGGGCUGACGCCUGCCCGGUGCUGGAAGGUUAAGAGGAGAGGUUAGCGCAAGCGAAGCUUUGAAUUUAAGCCCCAGUAAACGGCGGCCGUAACUAUAACGGUCCUAAGGUAGCGAAAUUCCUUGUCGGGU